CCCUUAGAUGUUCUGGGCCGCACGCGCGCUACACUGAUUCAUGCAACAAGUUUUGUCCUUGGCUGAUAGGCCUGGGUAAUCUUUGAACGUGAAUCGUGAUGGGGAUAGAUGAUUGCAAUUAUUCAUCUUCAACGAGGAAUUCCUAGUAAACGCAAGUCAUCAGCUUGCAUUGAUUACGUCCCUGCCCUUUGUACACACCGCCCGUCGCACCUACCGAUUGAAUGGUCCGGUGAAAUCUUCGGAUCUGAGAGAUGCCUGAUUAAUUUCGGACGCCUUUUGGAAAAGUUGCUUAAACCUUACCAUUUAGAGGAAGGUGAANUCGUAACA
RNAcentral lists this ribosomal RNA (327 nucleotides) under uncultured eukaryote. RNAcentral describes it as "partial 18S ribosomal RNA". It matches the Rfam family "Eukaryotic small subunit ribosomal RNA", at positions 1470 to 1796 of the family's 1831-position model. The record is from RNAcentral.